Molecule: long non-coding RNA, 168 nt
Organism: Drosophila ananassae
Lineage: Eukaryota; Metazoa; Arthropoda; Insecta; Diptera; Drosophilidae
Exons: 2
Source: RefSeq, a predicted model, not a curated record
AAAGAUAAAAAACACAACACUAAAACAAAAAACAAAUUCUGGUGCACUGGAAGAACUUGGAGACGAUUCUUAGAUGGUUCUCUUUUACGCACCUCUUUUUGUGCAUGGCGACCAAACUCAACGGAAAGUACAAGAAGACAGGAAAGAGUAAGGGAGACCCCACCAAAC